This 74-nucleotide transfer RNA is filed under the name Candidatus Proteinoplasmatales archaeon SG8-5. Its description in RNAcentral is "Euryarchaeota archaeon SG8-5 tRNA-Arg". The record is from RNAcentral. Lineage: Archaea; Methanobacteriati; Methanobacteriota; Candidatus Proteinoplasmatales.
GGACCUGUGGUGUAGCCUGGAUAUCAUCGGGGCCUCCGGAGCCUCUGACCCGGAUUCGAAAGUCACAUGGAGCA